AUGGAGAGACUUGUUAAUGUUCAUUACAUUGACAAGGAGGCAUUCUUGAGUAACAAUGCCGACACGGGUGAGGAACCAUUGGUUUUUGAUACAAGCUCUAGCUAUGAGGAUGUUGUUGCAAAAGUGAGACAAGUUUUGAAAUGGAUGGACACCAAUGUUGAUGUUAAGUUAAUAGGAAGGUAUGAUGUUGGAGUUGGAGCCAAAUCUCGCUUGAAAAGUAUGCCUAUCACCUCGGAUUUGCAUUGGGAUGUAUACAAGGAAAAAGUAUCCCAAUCAGAAGACAAGUCACUUGAAUUGUUUGCCACCAAGGUUGAAUCUCCUCGGUUUACCUUUGAUUUGAACCGGCAUGUCUCUUCCCCAAUGGAUGACAUGAGCGUUGAGUUGUAUGCCCCCAAUGCUUCUAGCCAACCACCAACUAGCCAAGCAAAUGAAGUUGAGGUGAUUGCUAGUGACGGAGUAAUUCAAGAGGAUGAAGAUGCUUAUGAUGACGAUGAAGAGCAAGAGGAAGGGUUUCAUGGUAAUGAUGUUGGUGACUUGGAUGCGUACAUAGCGCAAAAGGACAUGGAUCGUGACUUGCCUUUUAGGCGUCAAUAUGCAUAA
Molecule: ribosomal RNA, 600 nt
Filed under: Triticum aestivum (bread wheat)
Lineage: Eukaryota; Viridiplantae; Streptophyta; Magnoliopsida; Poales; Poaceae
Description: partial small subunit ribosomal RNA
Source: RNAcentral